AGUUAAUUAGCUUAUAAAAGCCUAUAUUUUGAAAGUAUAAGAAAAAGGUUGAAUCCUUUAUUAACUU
Molecule: transfer RNA, 67 nt
Filed under: Triatoma rubida
Lineage: Eukaryota; Metazoa; Arthropoda; Insecta; Hemiptera; Reduviidae
Description: tRNA-Ser
Rfam family: tRNA
About the family: Transfer RNA (tRNA) molecules are approximately 80 nucleotides in length. Their secondary structure includes four short double-helical elements and three loops (D, anti-codon, and T loops). Further hydrogen bonds mediate the characteristic L-shaped molecular structure. tRNAs have two regions of fundamental functional importance: the anti-codon, which is responsible for specific mRNA codon recognition, and the 3' end, to which the tRNAs corresponding amino acid is attached (by aminoacyl-tRNA synthetases). tRNAs cope with the degeneracy of the genetic code in two manners: having more than one tRNA (with a specific anti-codon) for a particular amino acid; and 'wobble' base-pairing, i.e. permitting non-standard base-pairing at the 3rd anti-codon position.
Source: RNAcentral